RNAcentral lists this ribosomal RNA (253 nucleotides) under uncultured bacterium. RNAcentral's name for it is "partial 16S ribosomal RNA". It matches the Rfam family "Bacterial small subunit ribosomal RNA", at positions 524 to 776 of the family's 1533-position model. The record is from RNAcentral.
UACGAAGGGGGCUAGCGUUGUUCGGAAUUACUGGGCGUAAAGCGCACGUAGGCGGAUUUGUCAGUCGGGGGUGAAAUCCCGAGGCUCAACCUCGGAACUGCCUCCGAUACAGCAAAUCUCGAGUCCGGGAGAGGUGGGUGGAAUUCCUAGUGUAGAGGUGAAAUUCGUAGAUAUUAGGAAGAACACCAGUGGCGAAGGCGGCCCACUGGCCCGGUACUGACGCUGAGGUGCGAAAGCGUGGGGAGCAAACAGG